RNAcentral lists this unclassified non-coding RNA (335 nucleotides) under soil metagenome. RNAcentral's name for it is "partial contains small subunit ribosomal RNA, internal transcribed spacer 1, and 5.8S ribosomal RNA". The record is from RNAcentral.
UUUCCGUAGGUGAACCUGCGGAAGGAUCAUUAACACGUAUCCACGUAUCAACCCCUCUGUGCAAACUUAACCGUUAAUGGUUGGUCUUAGUCCUUCUGGUUCGUAUGGAUCUCAAUGAUGGAGAGUUAGCUUGCUGACUCUGAGGUCUGAACUGUCGGGCGUUUGACGAUCAGCCGAUAUUUUCCCAUCGUUAGCCAUCCCAAUUUUAUUAACCCCUUUGUACUUAUCUGUACUGAACCAAUUCCUUCGAGUUCUUCUCUUUCUUUUUGAGAGAUGAGCACGAAAGAUAUUACGAAACUAAAGAACAACUCUUAGCAACGGAUAUCUUGGUUCCC